RNAcentral lists this non-coding RNA (58 nucleotides) under uncultured eukaryote. The record is from RNAcentral.
GUUUCUUCUUCUUCUUCUUCUUCUUCUUUUCUUUUUCUUCUUUUUGCUCUUGUGGAAU